UUCUGGUUGAUCCUGCCAGUAGUCAUAUGCUUGUCUCAAAGAUUAAGCCACGCAUGUCUAAGUAUAAGCAAUUUAUACAGUGAAACUGCGAAUGGCUCAUUAAAUCAGUUAUCGUUUAUUUGAUAGUACCUUUACUACUUGGAUAACCGUGGUAAUUCUAGAGCUAAUACAUGCUAAAAAUCCCGACUGUUUGGAAGGGAUGUAUUUAUUAGAUAAAGAAUCAAUGCUUUUCGGAGCUCUUUGAUGAUUCAUAAUAACUUUUCGAAUCGCAUGGCCUUGUGCUGGCGAUGGUUCAUUCAAAUUUCUGCCCUAUCAACUUUCGAUGGUAGGAUAGUGGCCUACCAUGGUUUCAACGGGUAACGGGGAAUAAGGGUUCGAUUCCGGAGAGGGAGCCUGAGAAACGGCUACCACAUCCAAGGAAGGCAGCAGGCGCGCAAAUUACCCAAUCCCGACACGGGGAGGUAGUGACAAUAAAUAGCGAUACAGGGCCCUUUCGGGUCUUGUAAUUGGAAUGAGUACAAUGUAAAUACCUUAACGAGGAACAAUUGGAGGGCAGUCUGGU
This 562-nucleotide ribosomal RNA is filed under the name uncultured Debaryomyces. RNAcentral describes it as "SSU rRNA". It matches the Rfam family "Eukaryotic small subunit ribosomal RNA", at positions 1 to 565 of the family's 1831-position model. The record is from RNAcentral. Lineage: Eukaryota; Fungi; Ascomycota; Saccharomycetes; Saccharomycetales; Saccharomycetaceae.